Long non-coding RNA from Heterocephalus glaber (naked mole-rat), 1865 nucleotides. The record is from Ensembl. NCBI's taxonomy places the organism in Eukaryota, Metazoa, Chordata, Mammalia, Rodentia, Bathyergidae.
CACGAGCACCACUAAACGAGCGCUGAGCCGCGCGGGGCCAGAAGCUGGACCGGCGCGCACACCUGCCUUGCCUGUCACCUGGAGCCUCUGAGACCCGCCCACAGCCGUCUGGGCUGUGUCCACCGUGAGAACCAGAGCUUUGUUCUCCCCAGGAUCCCGGAGACGCGCCAUUGUUACUUCGGGACACCUGGGGGCCGCGUAAGGACAGGAAAUUUUUGUUUUUCAAAUAGAAUUGACGAAUAAAAGCAAAUAACUACUUCUUUUGUGAAGUCUUGGAAAAUGCUACCUAAAAUGGAGUCCCCGUGGUCAGAGAGACACAUUCGAGGAACCUAAGAUCAUCAAGAGGCUGCGGCUGAGCUGUGGCCUAGCCACUUGCCGCUGUGACCCCCACUGACCAAUCAGCUGUGGACUCCUGGACUUUGUUGAUCGCCUGCACCAACCAGCCCGGCUUUGCCUUCUUUGACUCAAGCCCUUUGUUCUCUUUCCCACACACACUGUUAGUUUUAUUCGAAUCUUUGUAUUCCGAAUUGCAGCUUCUAAGACCCUAAAGAAAGCUGUCUUGGUUUUUUUCAGCCUCGAUAUUGAUAACUGGUUAUUCUUGUAGCAUUUUCUAAGGUUAUUAAAACAUGUUCUGCAGGUAGCUAGCUUGUAAAGCUAAGCGGGACAACGUCAUGGUCAUCAGCGGUCACACAGUGCCCUCUGGUGGCUCCGUGAGAAAACGACACGCAGGCUCCAGGACACCAUGGUAAACUGACAUUGAAAUAAUGCUAUUAGGUCAAAGUCCUCUAAUAUUCAGCGUUUUGGGAGUGCCUUAUCGAGGAAGUCCCUGUUGAGGACUUCAGGUAGAGAUGCAACAGGAGGUGGGAUUCGGUUUGUGGUGUCUGUAAGACAGCAAUCCAGAGGUGUGUAAACCCCUAGCCCUGAGCCUGACUGCUGAGGGUGGAGACGCAGAACUGCCACCCCCAGACCCGCAGUGAGCACCUGCCACAGCCCCCAGCCUCCCGGGGAAGCUGGGUCCAGCCCCACCUUCAUUGUUCUAUUCACUCAGCUCCCACACUGCUGGCCUGGCCACCAGGGGCCCCACUGCUGAACACAAACACACUUACCACGCUAUGCUGUUCUUCUCCACAAUGCAAUUUUUUUUUUCCCUCUGUACCGGAGAUUGAGCUCAGGACCUUGUAUUCGAGAGACAAGCGCGGUGCCACUGAGCUAAAUCCCUGGCCCUUCCACAAUGUUACCUCAAUAAAUUUUGGAAUUUGAAAUGGACAAAGUAUUUGAAAGAAGAACAAAAAGAAAGGAUUACAGUAAUGAUUGAGUUUUCGGACAGGUGUGGACUUCCCGGGGGAAGCUGUCAUCAGUGUGACCCUGGAGGAGGACUCAGAGCGGAGAGCACCUGAGCUGGGGAGCUGACUGUUCGGAGACAGAGGAACUGCCCCUCGGCAGACUCCUGCACGACCUGCACUCUAUGGAGAAGUCUCCAUCAAACAGGAAACAGAAACUUUAGCUCUUGAACUGAGAAGAAGUGGGUUUUGAAUCAGGAAAUAACAAAAACCAGAACGACAACCAAAGUAGCUGGUUAUGAGUCAAGAAAAGGGAGAAUUCAGGAGACUUGUGGCUCUUGCGGCUGCUUUGAGGAUUCAGCUGUGAGCAACAGCCUGGGGUCACACCUGGAUAAGCGCAAGGUUCAGGGGGGCAGACACAGGUGUCUUUGAGGAGAAACCCCAGGUAUUUUGUUUUUUUUUUUUGGUACCAGGGAUCGAACUCAGGUCCUUGCACUUGCAAGGCAGGCGACGGAACCGCUGGGCUAAAUCCCUAUUUUUUUUUUUAAAGAAUUUCCAAAGGCCAUUUUUUUUUUUGUCUUUCAG